ACCUGAGUAUCCUCAGCAAUUGAUCGUUGGGGAGUUCCUGGGCUCAGCAUCCUGCAGGACUGGCUCUCAAAAUAAUAAAAAUAAUAACAAGGAAUUACUACUAAAAGUUCAAUUGCAAUACCAGUCUUUGUCAUAAUCACUUAAGGGCACAAGUACUUAGAAGAAAGAUUAGGUCAUGAUUAUAAAUUAUGAUGCAAACAUUCUGAUGGAUUUUAUGUUCUGUUCUGUUUUAAGGUUGUGAAUGUUGCCUUCAUACAUGAUAUUUUUCCCCAAAUGAAGAGUCAGUGUAUCUAGUAUCUCAUGUCUGUCUUCUGUGCAGAAAUUUCUGCUGGAACAGAGAAAGAAAAGUUUGCGUAAGAACUUGCCACAAAGACAAAUGAGCUUGAGAGGUCAAUCACAGUGGAAGCUUUCAGUGUGUUAAUGUAAAAAAUGAUCUUUAUCCUGAGGGGGCACUGUCACAGCAGGCAUGGUUGCUUCUUGCAAUAUUCAUGAAGAAGUUUGUGGACAAUGAUGAUGAAGUCCUGAUGAACAGGGUAUAAACAGAUUUUACUAAGAAGAGAACCAUAUAAUUUGAAGUUCACAAAGACAGCAGUCAACAAGCUGGCUGACUUAUAGAUUAAGAACUGUUCUGUGGUAAUUGCUCAGUCCAGCAUGGCUACUCAUGCUGAUUUGUCAUUAUUCUCCUUUCAAAAUCAAGAACAUCAACUUGCAGAUUAUCUAAUUUUGUUGCAACUGUGAAACAUGCACUGAACCUGCUCAUUCAGUGAACAUGCCAGAGAAUUGCAUUUCCUUGUCAGGUUGCGUUGCUUCAGUCUGUGUAGCACAUAUAAACUAACUUCCCUUCAUCAUUUUAACCCUUGCCAAGUCAAGUCCAUUAUGAUUUUUUGAUGCACCUCAUAUUCAGGAAUUGAUUCACUUCCUCUUUCCAUCUGUAAAAGGAGAAGUCCUCUGCAAGCAACACUGACUUUGGGGAUAGGCUCCCUGCACAGAAAACGGUAUGUUUCUCAUAAAGAAAUAUAUAUUUUCUGGAUGUCAAUUAAAUAUAGGGUUCUUUGAAGAUUGUCCAACAAGCAUGGAAAAUAAACAGAAAACUGAAUCUGAAUACCAGAUUGAAUCACGUUUGAAAUGUAUGUGUGCAGUUGCAGGAAUUUUUGGAAUACCUUUCACUUCAACUUUUGAGAAGAGGCAUUUUUGUGAGGUGAGAUUUACCAAAACCAACCAAACAAAUAAAUGUGAUUCAAAAUAAGUAUACCUAGGUUUAGUUAGUUAACCUCCUACAUGAGGAAAGAAAUCUACAAAUAUGAACAGAACAUUCUUUGCCAUAGGGCUGGAGUUCCCCUCCCUUAUCUUUAUUUGCCUAAGAAGCAGGUAUCUAGUCUAAGCCAGUUAGCCAGCACAGUGCUCCUGGGAAAGGAGAUAUUGCUCAUACAAGGCAAACAUCGGAUAUAAGAAUCACCGUCUUGAAGUGUGUAUCUUAUUCAGUUGAUCACAGAGGUAGCCAAGAUGACUAGCCUUUAACAGAUACCUAACUUCUGGAUGGUUCUUGAAUCCCUCUCCAAAUAUUGAAUAUAUUUUAACCAGACAUAUUUCUUUUGAACAGAAUUGUGUAAUUCUUUUGUACAGAAUUGCACUAGUGAAAUCCACCUUCCUAGCUUGAGGUCAUAUACAUUCAGAUAGAUAGUUUUAAGAUAUUUUUAUUAUAUUUCAGAGACACAAAAUCAGUUUAUAAAAGAUUAGUGCAUGCGUUUUCCAUGUAAUACACAAUUACUAAAUUAUAAUGCAUUAUUAUAAAAUAACAAGUAGUUUAUGAAUUGUGCAUAGAUGGUAACACCACAGCAGAAACUGAAUUCAUGCCUAUUCCUUCAUCUGCUGCUUUUAACUAUUUUUGUUGUAAUAAUCCAUGUCACUCCUUGAUCUGUUUCCAUAUAAUUAUAUUGAAAUUAUCUUCCAAAUCAUUCAGGUUUCUUUUCCAGAAAUCUCAGCUGUUCACAGUCUUUUCUGAGGCCAGGUUCUCUUCUGUUCCUGGCCAUCUAUUGAAGGACUUGGCCAGAACUUCUCGACAGUUAGCCAAUACAGAU
Long non-coding RNA from Harpia harpyja (harpy eagle), 2078 nucleotides. RefSeq lists it as uncharacterized. Lineage: Eukaryota; Metazoa; Chordata; Aves; Accipitriformes; Accipitridae. The transcript is spliced from 7 exons. The record is from RefSeq and is a predicted model, not a curated record.